GACGAACGCUGGCGGCGUGCUUAACACAUGCAAGUCGAACGGAAAGGCCCUGCUUGCCGGGUACUCGAGUGGCGAACGGGUGAGUAACACGUGGGUGAUCUGCCCUGCACUUCGGGAUAAGCUUGGGAAACUGGGUCUAAUACCGGAUAGGAACCAUCUUUAGUGUGGUGGUUGGAAAGUUUUUUCGGUGUAGGAUGAGCUCGCGGCCUAUCAGCUUGUUGGUGGGGUAAUGGCCUACCAAGGCGGCGACGGGUAGCCGGCCUGAGAGGGUGUACGGCCACAGUGGGACUGAGAUACGGCCCAGACUCCCACGGGAGGCAGCAGGUGGGAAUAUUGCACAAGGGGCGCCAGCCCGAUGCAGCGACGCCGCGGGGGGGAUGAAGGCCUUCGGGUUGUAAACGCCUUUCGCUAGGGACGAAGCUUUUUGUGACGGUACCUAGAUAAGAAGCACCGGCUAACUACGUG
Molecule: ribosomal RNA, 465 nt
Filed under: uncultured bacterium
Lineage: Bacteria
Description: partial 16S ribosomal RNA
Rfam family: Bacterial small subunit ribosomal RNA
Source: RNAcentral